CACGGGUCAUAAUCACAGAAUUGACACUACUAAAUUGUAGUAUUUUAAUCAGUAAGACUUUCUAAGAUAACAAUACGAAUACUAAACAUCUGGACUAAAAAUAAGGCGUAUAGGUACAGUUUUCAAUUUGUUAGCGGGCAUGACGUAAAACAGCGAAUCAAAGAAUUCAACUUUAUUUAUAACUAAUAUAGGACAAUGCUGUUGAUUAAAAAAUACUCCAUUCCAGGACCUUUUGUUUUCCAAAUAAUUAAUAUUACCAAUAAUUGAUAAGUUCCAGUUCGACGGGUUCAAACAGAAAGAUUUGAAAACAGAGAAAACUGUGUAUCUUAUAAUCGGCAUGACUUUAUCAGAUGACAAUACUAAUACUAAAAUAAGGCUUGCGCAAAGUUAUAUACUUUAAUUCAGUCACGGACCCG
This 416-nucleotide long non-coding RNA is filed under the name Mytilus galloprovincialis (Mediterranean mussel). Lineage: Eukaryota; Metazoa; Mollusca; Bivalvia; Mytilida; Mytilidae. The record is from RNAcentral.